Long non-coding RNA from Triticum dicoccoides, 2269 nucleotides. RefSeq lists it as uncharacterized. NCBI's taxonomy places the organism in Eukaryota, Viridiplantae, Streptophyta, Magnoliopsida, Poales, Poaceae. The transcript is spliced from 5 exons. The record is from RefSeq and is a predicted model, not a curated record.
CGCAUCGCCGUUUUCACCACCGGUGAAGCCAAACCCUCCUCCGCGAUGAACCACCGUGCGCAUCAACCUCCGCGGCGAGCUCCAAAUCAAUUUGUUUGGGUUUCUGAAAUGGAUGCAGAUGGAGAUAGAUAGGUCCCAUUUUUUUUGAGAGGGGAAGAAGCGUGCGUUCAACUAUGGCCGAAGUAAGUGCCUCUCUGAAGGGAAAGUCUGCCUAGAAGCUAAGAGCUGGUUGUGGCUCUGGAGCUGUUGUUGAUGAUGAUACAUCUGCAUGAACAUAUUGCAGUUCCUGUUAGUGGUGAUGUAUGCUUGUGACUGCACAAUCCUUGUAGGAACUGUCUGUUGCAGCUGUAUGAGCUCUCUAUUCUGGUACCACCAGUCUUAUAAAGCAGGCAACUGAGGAAAGAAUUUCGAAUCGAUGGAAGAAACACUUGAGCCUGACCCAAUCUUCACAGCAACUGAAAAGAGAUAUUAUCCUUAUUCCUUUAGAAGAAGAAUUGGAUGAAGUUUUGCCUGCAAAUAAAGCGAAGAAGGAACUCAUUCUAUUACAGAUGCCUUUCUUGGGACUGCACAAAAGCAAAGUAUGGAAUAAGCAUAUGGUUCCCUUUUGUCUCCUCUGGUAAGUUUUUUACUUGUUCAGCUAUCAGGAAAAAUUAAAGUGGAUAGGCGAAUCUGAUCAGAUGUGCAUGUUUGUGAAGCGGUAUUCUGAAUUUGAUUGCUAGUUCAUAAGGCACAUAAAGUAAGCUUGAAAUUUACGAUUUAGCUUCUUGAUUUCAGUGCUCUAUGUUGCCUUUCCUUCACAUACGUCCUUGUACAGCUGACUGUUUUCUUACAGUCUCACUUCCAUCAUUUGUUUUCUCCAUGCUUUGAUAGAAAAUGCAUCAAGUUCAGUUAUAGAUAGGUUCAACUGGCAUAAAGUAAAAGUUGUGCAGAAUACUCUUCUGUAAUUUGGGAACAAAGUUCUCAUUAUGGAGAGAGUAGUCGGCACAGUUCAAUAAUAAUAAUUUAAGUUCACUCUAAUUGGUGAGAUUUUAAUAUAACAUGUGGUCAUCUGACCCUUUCGUUUGCUCUGCAAUCAAGUUGAUGUUCAAGCUAUUCUGCAAAUCACAGAUGCAGGAUGCCCCCUCUUGUUUUUGGUGGAAAAAUUGACGGGAAAUUUACAAAAUUGUUCAUGUAUAGUAAAUCAAGUAGAAUCAACUGUAAUUUUGAUACUGCGCGACCGUGUGCAUAGGAAAAGUUUGACAAGCUUAUUCUUUUAAAGGUAACUAAUAGGAGUGGUCCAAUCCAAGAUAACAUCCCUUGUUGUUCUUUAUAGCUUGCUAUUUGUAUAUUUGGGUUGCUGUUAUCUGGAUCAACCAGUCUUCUCCAGAGUUGUUUAGGGAAUCCAUGUGCUUACCAAUUAUAAGUCCUUUCUGUUCACUUAUAUAUUGAGGGAUGCAAAUGGUACCCACCCACGAUAUGAUAUAUGUACCUUGGCUCCGGUUCAACUGCGGCAUGCUGGUGCUUAUCUGUUUCUCCAAGUCGCUGCUAGAUUCGUCGAGCAUCAGCUGGGCAUGGUGAGCAAUGAUGGCCGGUCAUGAGGAGCAUAAACUAAAACUGCUGUGCACUUCAUGGAAUGAACACUUUGUGGCCAUAGCUUUAUCUUUCGUGCUGAAUCCGGUGAAAGCGGGUGUGGAGGAGAACUUUAUCUUUGCGCACAUUACAUUCAGUUGUUGCUUGUUAAGUAAGUGCUUGGAAUCGUAUGCUUUCUCUUUCUUUCUCCCUCCCUGAGCUCCCGGGAGAAGGAAUAAGGGAAGGAGCUGGAGGAAUCGGGGCGCUUUUUGUUUUUGGUAAAGAAAGAUGUGAAGGAAUAUAACGCCUAUCUCCAGGACACCUCUUGUGUGUGGACUGUGGAGUGGUUCUUUUUGUUCUACGGCGUCGCAGGCCUGGGCUGCAGGGCGAGUGUGCGAGACCAAGGGAGCAACACCAGGCAACACGUGUGGAUUGUUCCGUAGGUGGUAUCUUGAGAGUUCAGAGCUCAGUCCAUAUAUACUACAGUAGUAUUAAACUUUCAUCUUGGCUGCAUGGAGAAAGUGAAGCUGAACACGAACAUCAGGGACGGAGAUGGAUAACCAUUGUAUAUAGUCGAGCUGGUCUCUUUUGAUAUCGAAUCUGAAGCCUGUUAAGAUGCUUCUUUUCUUUAGAACCAAGAGCUUUUACAACUGUAUAUUAUUACAAGCGCUUACAGUCCUGCUCAGUGCACUCAACUCUGAACUAUAAAACCCCAGGUGAU